UGUGGCGAUGGGAAAUACUGCGCGUCAAUAGUUUGGCACUUCCGGUUUAGUUUGGACACUUCCGGUUUACGAUGUUAGCUCAGUUCAUAAAAAAUGAGAAGUAGACGAGUUGUGUUAACUCUUACAAGCCUUGGAAAAGAGAAGUCUGGCCAAAACAAACAAGCGGACUUCCUCUCGUCUUCUCACGUGGAAACAAAGAGUUAGCAUUUGUCAGUCUGGCCCCCAAAUGAACGGAACAUGGCGCCCAUCAGACGUUAGAACCGUCUUCAGGCACGGACAGAACAUUCCUGGAAAGGAGGAUUCUCAAAUUCAAGCCCCUGAUUAAGUUUUUCAUUCAAGCGGCAAAAGGUUUGGACAAUUCUGAAGGCCCCAGACUGGCAGGGGCCCUACAGAGACACACAAAGAUAACAUAAACACGCAUCGGGAGCAAACGUCAGCUGACCUCCGACACGUCUUUACAUCCCCGAGUACUUUGGCUUUGGAGAGACUCGCAGAGGAAAAAAAGCAGCAACAAAAAGGUGAGCGCCUACCGCACACAGUAGGAGGAGGACGUGAACAUCAGGAAGAGGAUGAGAACCAGGAGAAGGCCGGUGACUCCUGGAACUGGAAGGAAAUCAUACAAGCUGGUCAGUGGUCUGGAAACAUGCCUUUGGAAAUGAGUUUGAGGGUCUUACCUGUGGUUAGAAUUAUUAGCUUUGGGUCCUGUGGGGACAUAAAACUCUCAUAAAUGUGGCCUUCAGUCCUUAAAUAGUCUUGUCUUAUAUCAGGGGUGUCCAAACUCUUGGAGGCAUCGGGCUUUAAACCCAGAUUUUGUAUUUUCGAUACUUUUCUAAAUAAAGGGGACCACAAAAAAAAGGAAUUAUUGUCUUAAUC
Molecule: long non-coding RNA, 873 nt
Organism: Nerophis ophidion (straightnose pipefish)
Lineage: Eukaryota; Metazoa; Chordata; Actinopteri; Syngnathiformes; Syngnathidae
Exons: 3
Source: RefSeq, a predicted model, not a curated record